AAAUCUCUGGAGCACUUCCACGAAAAACGUGUAGCGGAUUUCCGUGCGGAAGUGCGUAGCUUCAGGAGUUGG
This 72-nucleotide small RNA is filed under the name Sinorhizobium meliloti 2011. RNAcentral's name for it is "putative ncRNA". The record is from RNAcentral. Lineage: Bacteria; Pseudomonadati; Pseudomonadota; Alphaproteobacteria; Hyphomicrobiales; Rhizobiaceae.